GAUGAACGCUGGCGGCGUGCUUAACACAUGCAAGUCGAACGAAGCAGUUUAUCACGAUCCCUUCGGGGUGACGAUUUACUGACUGAGUGGCGGACGGGUGAGUAACGCGUGGGUAACCUACCUUGUACAGGGGGACAACAGUUGGAAACGACUGCUAAUACCGCAUAAGCGCACAGCUUCGCAUGAAGCAGUGUGAAAAGUUUUUUCGGUACAAGAUGGACCCGCGUCUGAUUAGCUAGUUGGUGAGGUAACGGCCCACCAAGGCGACGAUCAGUAGCCGACCUGAGAGGGUGACCGGCCACAUUGGGACUGAGACACGGCCCAAACUCCUACGGGAGGCAGCAGUGGGGAAUAUUGCACAAUGGGCGAAAGCCUGAUGCAGCGACGCCGCGUGAGCGAAGAAGUAUUUCGGUAUGUAAAGCUCUGAUCAGCAGGGAAGAUAAUGAAGUA
RNAcentral lists this ribosomal RNA (450 nucleotides) under bacterium WCD2002. RNAcentral's name for it is "bacterial SSU rRNA". It matches the Rfam family "Bacterial small subunit ribosomal RNA", at positions 28 to 458 of the family's 1533-position model. The record is from RNAcentral.